RNAcentral lists this ribosomal RNA (425 nucleotides) under uncultured bacterium. RNAcentral describes it as "partial 16S ribosomal RNA". It matches the Rfam family "Bacterial small subunit ribosomal RNA", at positions 354 to 796 of the family's 1533-position model. The record is from RNAcentral.
GUAGGGAAUCUUGCGCAAUGGGCGAAAGCCUGACGCAGCCAUGCCGCGUGAAUGAUGAAGGUCUUAGGAUUGUAAAAUUCUUUCACCGGGGACGAUAAUGACGGUACCCGGAGAAGAAGCCCCGGCUAACUUCGUGCCAGCAGCCGCGGUAAUACGAAGGGGGCUAGCGUUGCUCGGAAUUACUGGGCGUAAAGGGAGCGUAGGCGGAUAGUUUAGUCAGAGGUGAAAGCCCAGGGCUCAACCUUGGAAUUGCCUUUGAUACUGGCUAUCUUGAGUAUGGAAGAGGUAUGUGGAACUCCGAGUGUAGAGGUGAAAUUCGUAGAUAUUCGGAAGAACACCAGUGGCGAAGGCGACUCACUGGCCCAAUACUGACGCUGAGGCGCGAAAGCGUGGGGAGCAAACAGGAUUAGAUACCCCUGUAGUCC